ACGCUCAGAUUGAUCUUACAAUAAUCUUUUAAACCAUCUCUGAAACGACUUAAACAAUUGAGACUCGAGAUGAUCAAGUACUUAUUUUUAUAUACAAUGACUUUUCUAAUGUUGUUCGUAAGAGAAGUGACAGGGAAUAUGGAGGCGGUCAGCUAUUGCUUUGAGCUUCUGUUUGGAAUGGAUAUACAAUAUGACCACUUUUGUGAGGAGUAUGGCGACAUCUGUGAUAUAUUCUGCAAGAAAUAAAUUCCUCACAACCUAGCAAAUUUGAUCCUUCGAUUCGUGUCUGUAAUAAAACUACAAGCAGCAAUAAUAAAAGUCCCAGACAAUGUGC
This is a long non-coding RNA of Saccostrea echinata, 334 nucleotides long. RefSeq lists it as uncharacterized. Lineage: Eukaryota; Metazoa; Mollusca; Bivalvia; Ostreida; Ostreidae. The record is from RefSeq and is a predicted model, not a curated record. The transcript is spliced from 4 exons.